This 465-nucleotide ribosomal RNA is filed under the name uncultured bacterium. RNAcentral describes it as "partial 16S ribosomal RNA". It matches the Rfam family "Bacterial small subunit ribosomal RNA", at positions 339 to 795 of the family's 1533-position model. The record is from RNAcentral.
CUACGGGCGGCACCAGUGGGGAAUAUUGGACAAUGGGGGAAACCCUGAUCCAGCAAUGCCGCGUGUGUGAAGAAGGCCUGCGGGUUGUAAAGCACUUUCGGUUGGGAGGACUGCUUCUAGCACUAAUAUUGUUGGAAGUUGACGUUACCUUCAGAAGAAGCACCGGCUAACUCCGUGCCAGCAGCCGCGGUAAUACGAAGGGUGCAAGCGUUAAUCGGAAUUACUGGGCGUAAAGCGCGCGUAGGCGGCUAGAUCAGUCGGGUGUGAAAGCCCCGGGCUUAACCUGGGAACUGCAUCCGAGACUGGCGAGCUUGAGUACAGGAGAGGAGAGUGGAAUUCCACAUGUAGCGGUGAAAUGCGUAGAUAUGUGGAGGAACACCAAUGGCGAAGGCAGCUCUCUGGCCUGAUACUGACGCUGAGGUGCGAAAGCGUGGGGAGCAAACAGGAUUAGAUACCCCCGUAGUC